UCUCAAGCUAAAGAAAGGAAAGAAAAGAAAACAAAUGCACAAAAUUGACUUCUUGGAAACAAACACUGAUGUCUGUCCGCUCUCUCCCGUCGGGUCACUUGCUCAUGGCUGUUCUACAGCUGUCGGUUAUUGAGCCCCAUCCCCACCUCCGGGCAGAUGCCCUCUGUCCUAGAGCUGCACGCUGCCCCUCUACUCCCAGCUCGGUGGCACUCGGCAGAAUGACGUCUUCCACUGGCCGGGGGGCGGCAGACCGUGUGACCAGACGCCACAAAUCCGUCAUCUCGGGUGGAAAAUCCCCCCAGGACACACGUGGCCCUCCCCUGUCCUUAGACCGGUUAGCCACCAUCGUGGGCUGAAAAAUGCUCCCGCCUCCAGAAUCCCUGGAACCUGUGAAUGGCACUUGAGAUGGCAAAGGACUGAAUGUUCUCUUCCAGGGUGAGAGAGGUGGUGGAGCUGAGGAUCUGCGGAAGAGGAACUUAGCCUGCAUUAUCCAGGCGGACCCUGAGCACAACCACGUGUGUCCUUCCUUCCAGAGGGAUCGUGGCUCUGCCAGUACCUUGAUUUGGGGCUUCUGGCCUCCAGAACUACAAGAGAGUACGUCUCUCAUGCUUUAAGCCACCAAGUUUGUGAUCGCGUGUUACAACAGCAUCAAGAAAUGAAUAGAGCUUCAUACAAAAAGAUCUGCCUGCGCCCGGCGUUUCAUGUGAAUGGAAGCCUACCGCAUGUGGUCGGCGGUGACUGGCUUCGUUCACUUAACAACGUUUUUAAGGGGGCAAAUCUACAUUUUGUUGCAAGCAAUGCCUAUUAUUCCCAGUGACUUGGAGGCCCUUCUUCCCCAAAGGGGAAGGAAAUGCAUUUAAACACAAGGGAAAAUUGCAAGUAACAGGAAGGCUGGCAGAGAUCUCCACCAUCUGGCUCUUCCUCGGGCAAGUUCACCUACUGACGGAGUUUCUCGGUCUGAAACCCUGUCACCAUCUGCAAGGCCUGAUUUCUAGAUGAGCGCUUCAUUGGUCGAAGGCUGAGCAACCCCCUGAAAGGGCUCAAACAACUCUGACAGCUUCCCUCCUUCAUCUCUGACACAAUCAGCUACUGCGAAUGUGUUCGGUCUGACCUAGUUUUCUUGUCUUUAAAAAGAAAUGGGUGAUUCAUUUGUUGCAGCCUGUCGGGCUGGUCACGGAGAGGGAGCAGUGCCACCGACAUGUAACCCAUUACCACAAAUCGGGGCUGGUCACUGGACUUCUCGGCCUGUCACAGAUGGCUGUCAGUCUUUGCAGACUGGCCCAACCCUUAGCUAUGCCUCCCCUGGUCACCUGCCCAGUGUGGCUGGACUGAGGUCAAAGCUCUGGGGUUGUGCCUACUGUAGAUGAAGAUGCUAGAAGGCCCUAGGAUAGUCUUAAACACCCUAAACAUAGUCCUAACUGCAUGGAAACAAGGAUGCAGUGUUAGAAUACCUGGGUCACAGACUCUAUUCUGCCACUUUCUAGGCACACAGCUUUGGCACGCUAUCUUCCAUGGAGCCUUAAGGGCCCCAUUUGUGUAACGGUAAUAAUAAUAUCUGCCGUAUAGUAUUGUUUUGAGCAUUAAAGGCAUUGAUGCUUUGUACAAAGAGCCCAGCACAGUCCCAGACCACACACAGCAUCAGUGCUGAAUGUGUAUGAUACACACGUAACCAUGAGUAGCGAUGUUUGAUUCGUAUAUGACUGUUGGCAUUGAUGCGGGAUACACACAGAGCCACUGGUAAUGACGUGUUGACACACGUAUAAUCGUUAGUACUGAAGAGCUGACCCCCGCCCAGCACCCAGUGGAGACACUGAAUCCAUACAUUUUCCCUUGUCCCUUCUCCAAUUUUCCUCUACAGUAAUGAAUGGUUUGUUAGUGUAUCCGGUAAGAAAAACAAAUUAUUUUAUCUAAGGUCUCAUGAAAAGAAAAAAAAAAAAAGUCUUUGGGGGGGAAAAAAAAGAUGUAAGAUUAUUGUUUCAACGUUUAUUUAU
This is a long non-coding RNA of Prionailurus viverrinus (fishing cat), 1991 nucleotides long. RefSeq lists it as uncharacterized. Lineage: Eukaryota; Metazoa; Chordata; Mammalia; Carnivora; Felidae. The record is from RefSeq and is a predicted model, not a curated record. The transcript is spliced from 5 exons.